RNAcentral lists this ribosomal RNA (253 nucleotides) under uncultured bacterium. RNAcentral's name for it is "partial 16S ribosomal RNA". It matches the Rfam family "Bacterial small subunit ribosomal RNA", at positions 524 to 776 of the family's 1533-position model. The record is from RNAcentral.
UACGAAGGGGGCUAGCGUUGCUCGGAAUCACUGGGCGUAAAGGGUGCGUAGGCGGGUCUUUAAGUCAGGGGUGAAAUCCUGGAGCUCAACUCCAGAACUGCCUUUGAUACUGGCGAGCUUGAGUCCGGGAGAGGUGAGUGGAACUGCGAGUGUAGAGGUGAAAUUCGUAGAUAUUCGCAAGAACACCAGUGGCGAAGGCGGCUCACUGGCCCGGUACUGACGCUGAGGUGCGAAAGCGUGGGGAGCAAACAGG